This 1415-nucleotide ribosomal RNA is filed under the name uncultured bacterium. RNAcentral's name for it is "16S ribosomal RNA". It matches the Rfam family "Bacterial small subunit ribosomal RNA". The record is from RNAcentral.
AGAGUUUGAUCAUGGCUCAGGACGAACGCUGGCGGCGUGCUUAACACAUGCAAGUCGAACGGUGAAGGGGCCUGCUUUUGUGGGUCCUGGAUGAGUGGCGAACGGGUGAGUAACACGUGAGUAACCUGCCCCCUUCUUCUGGAUAACCGCAUGAAAGUGUGGCUAAUACGGGAUAUUCUGGGUCUGUCGCAUGGUGGGCCUGGGAAAGGUUUUUUCCGGUGGGGGAUGGGCUCGCGGCCUAUCAGCUUGUUGGUGGGGUGAUGGCCUACCAAGGCGGUGACGGGUAGCCGGCCUGAGAGGGUGGACGGUCACACUGGGACUGAGACACGGCCCAGACUCCUACGGGAGGCAGCAGUGGGGAAUAUUGCACAAUGGGCGCAAGCCUGAUGCAGCGACGCCGCGUGAGGGAUGGAGGCCUUCGGGUUGUGAACCUCUUUCGCCAGUGAGGCAGGCCUGCUCCUUUUUUGUGGGUGGGUUGACGGUAGCUGGAUAAGAAGCGCCGGCUAACUACGUGCCAGCAGCCGCGGUAAUACGUAGGGCGCGAGCGUUGUCCGGAAUUAUUGGGCGUAAAGAGCUCGUAGGCGGCUGGUCGCGUCUGUCGUGAAAUCCUCUGGCUUAACUGGGGGCUUGCGGUGGGUACGGGCCGGCUUGAGUGCGGUAGGGGAGGCUGGAACUCCUGGUGUAGCGGUGGAAUGCGCAGAUAUCAGGAAGAACACCGGUGGCGAAGGCGGGUCUCUGGGCCGUUACUGACGCUGAGGAGCGAAAGCGUGGGGAGCGAACAGGAUUAGAUACCCUGGUAGUCCACGCCGUAAACGUUGGGCACUAGGUGUGGGGGGCCUUUUCCGGGUUUUCCGCGCCGUAGCUAACGCAUUAAGUGCCCCGCCUGGGGAGUACGGCCGCAAGGCUAAAACUCAAAGGAAUUGACGGGGGCCCGCACAAGCGGCGGAGCAUGCGGAUUAAUUCGAUGCAACGCGAAGAACCUUACCAAGGCUUGACAUGUGCCGGUCUGCUCCGGAGACGGGGUUUCCUCCCUUGUGGGGGCUGGUUCACAGGUGGUGCAUGGUUGUCGUCAGCUCGUGUCGUGAGAUGUUGGGUUAAGUCCCGCAACGAGCGCAACCCUUGUCUCGUGUUGCUAGCACGUUGUGGUGGGGACUCGCGGGAGACUGCCGGGGUCAACUCGGAGGAAGGUGGGGAUGACGUCAAAUCAUCAUGCCCCUUAUGUCUUGGGCUUCACGCAUGCUACAAUGGCCGGUACAGAGGGCUGCGAUACCGUGAGGUGGAGCGAAUCCCUUAAAGCCGGUCUCAGUUCGGAUCGGUGUCUGCAACUCGACACCGUGAAGUUGGAGUCGCUAGUAAUCGCAGAUCAGCAACGCUGCGGUGAAUACGUUCUCGGGCCUUGCACACACCGCCCGUCA